GCAGCUUUAGCUCACUUGGGAGAGCGCCAGGUAAGCCCAUCCUCAGCAAUCUCGUAUUCCUCUCCGGAACACCGAACUAACAGCUCGCCCAUCAGACUGAAGCCCACUUCAGCCCCAACCAUCACAAUCUGUGCGGUAUCUGGAGGUACUGUGUUCGAUCCACAGAAGCUGCA
RNAcentral lists this transfer RNA (173 nucleotides) under Neofusicoccum parvum UCRNP2. RNAcentral's name for it is "tRNA-Und (NNN) (tRNA-Und-NNN-3-1)". Lineage: Eukaryota; Fungi; Ascomycota; Dothideomycetes; Botryosphaeriales; Botryosphaeriaceae. The record is from RNAcentral.